AACGAACGCUGGCGGCAUGCCUAGCACAUGCAAGUCGAACGAGACCUUCGGGUCUAGUGGCGCACGGGUGCGUAACGCGUGGGAACCUGCCCUUAGGUUCGGAAUAACUCCCCGAAAGGGGUGCUAAUACCGGAUAAUGUCUUCGGACCAAAGAUUUAUCGCCUUUGGAUGGGCCCGCGUUGGAUUAGCUAGUUGGUAGGGUAAAAGCCUACCAAGGCGACGAUCCAUAGCUGGUCUGAGAGGAUGAUCAGCCACACUGGGACUGAGACACGGCCCAGACUCCUACGGGAGGCAGCAGUGGGGAAUAUUGGACAAUGGGCGAAAGACUGAUCCAGCAAUGCCGCGUGAGUGAUGAAGGCCUUAGGGUUGUAAAGCUCUUUUACCCGGGAUGAUAAUGACAGUACCGGGAGAAUAAGCUCCGGCUAACUCCGUG
This 433-nucleotide ribosomal RNA is filed under the name uncultured bacterium. RNAcentral's name for it is "partial 16S ribosomal RNA". It matches the Rfam family "Bacterial small subunit ribosomal RNA", at positions 29 to 507 of the family's 1533-position model. The record is from RNAcentral.